GCUGUGAUCGUAUAGUGGUUAGUACUUCACGUUGUGGCCGUGACAACCCCAGGUUAGAAUCCUGGUCACAGCA
Molecule: non-coding RNA, 73 nt
Organism: Ciona savignyi (Pacific transparent sea squirt)
Lineage: Eukaryota; Metazoa; Chordata; Ascidiacea; Phlebobranchia; Cionidae
Source: Rfam